GUCCACGCUGUAAACGAUAAUCACUAGAUGUUAGUCUGGCUUGCUGGAUUAGUGUCGUAGCUAACGCGUUAAGUGAUUCGCCUGGGAAGUACGGUCGCAAGGCUAAAACUUAAAGGAAUUGACGGGGGUCCGCACAAGCGGUGGAACAUGUGGUUUAAUUCGACACUCCGCGAGGAACCUUACCUGGGUUUGACAUACUUGUGACAGUCACAGAGAUGUGACGUUCUUGGCUUCGGUCAAGACACAAGAACAGGUGCUGCAUGGCUGUCGU
RNAcentral lists this ribosomal RNA (271 nucleotides) under uncultured bacterium. RNAcentral's name for it is "partial 16S ribosomal RNA". It matches the Rfam family "Bacterial small subunit ribosomal RNA", at positions 793 to 1055 of the family's 1533-position model. The record is from RNAcentral.